Molecule: ribosomal RNA, 187 nt
Filed under: uncultured bacterium
Lineage: Bacteria
Description: partial 16S ribosomal RNA
Rfam family: Bacterial small subunit ribosomal RNA
Source: RNAcentral
CCUUCCAUGAAGCCGGAAUUGCUAGUAAUGGCAGGUCAGCAUACUGCCGUGAAUACGUUCCCGGGCCUUGUACACACCGCCCGUCACACCAUGAGAGUUGGGGAUACCCGAAGCCUGUGAGCUAACUUAACGGAGGCAGCAGUCGAAGGUAGAAUCAAUGAUUGGGGUGAAGUCGUAACAAGGUAGC